GUGCCUCCAGCCUUGGCACAUAAAAACUCUUACCUAUUCCUACACACACUUUCUUGUCUUCCCUGCUGGCUGAACACAGAGGCUCUAUGGGAUGGUGGAUUCCUAAGAUGGGAAGAGCCUAGGUACCCACCUGCAAGCUAACCAGCAUUAAACUGCAAGGAAAGUGAGAGCUCUUCCCAGCAAGAUAUGGAGUCUAUUUCUCCACCUUGAAUCUGAGCAGGCCUUAUGACCUGAUUUGGCCAGAAGAAUGCGGUGGAAGUGACAUUGUACAUGUCUGAGCCUGGGCCUCAAGAAGCCUUGCAACUUCUGCUUCUGCUGAUCUUGGCACCUGCCCUGCUUACUGCUGCUCAUGAAGAAGCCUGGCCCAGCCUGUUGGAUGAUGAGGAGCCGGGGGUGCAGCUACAUUCAAGAUCAAUGAGUUAUAGCCACAUGCAAGGCCAUGAAAAGUAAUACCCUUCAGGAGAGUGGAGUUUCCGGUAUUCUUGCUGAGCCAAAAAGACUAGGAGAGAAAGAGCCAUGCUACCCACCAAAGUAUUCAGAAGUACAGGGUGGGCUUCAGAGAAAACUAGAAGAUUCUGCUUUGAACACAGAUAAGUAACUUCCACUUCAGUUUACCUCUAUAUACAGUGGAGUUCUGCAGGAUGGAGAGAGUGUGGAUAGCAGAUUACAGUUGCUUAUAGCUUCCUGCAGCCUUAUCUCUUCCUAAACCUUACCAUCUCCUCCAUCACCUCCUAUGCCCCUCAGACUCAGAGAAGGCAAGAAUCAACCAAAGGCAAAUAGGUAUUUUUAAAAACUUACCGAAAACUUGAUACAUCUUAACCUAUUUAUCCUGACAAAGUCAGUUCAAAAGUCCUCUCCUCCAUCAGCCUCACUUGGCUUCCCAUGCCACUCCACAAGAAAGAGUUGGUUCCUCCUUCCUGUGGAUGGGCCUAAAGGCACUGUGUUUAGCCUUUCUGAUGUUCAUGGGUCAGUAUUCUCCUGAUGCUAUGGUUUGAAUGUUUGUCCCCUCAGAAACUCAUGUUGAAACAUAAUCUCCAAUUUAACAGUAUUAAGAGAUGGGGUCUUUAAGAAGUGAUUGGGUUAUGAGGGCUCUUUCCAUAACCCAAUGGAUAAACAGAUUAAUGAAUUAACAGAUUAAUGGGUUAAUGGAUUAAAUGGAUUAAUAGAUUAAUGGGUUAAUGGAUUAAAUGGGUUAUCACAUGAAUGGGGUGGUUAUCACAAGAGUAGAUAUGUUAUAAGAGCCAGUUUGGCUCUCGGUGCAACCCCCCUAUUACCCUGGGAUGCCUUCCACAAUGUUAUGACACAGCAUGAAGCCCUCACCAGAAGCCAACCAGAUGCAACCACUUGAUCUUGGACUUCUCAGCCUCUAGAACUGUAAGUAAUACAUUUAUUUUCUUUAUAAAUUACCCAGUCUGUGGUAUUCUGUUAUAGCAACAGAAAAUGGACUAAGGCACCUGACUUGGAAGUCCUCAAGAACAGAACUGUGACUUAGUCAUGUUUGAUGCUCAGAGCCAAGCCUAAUUCCCAGCACAGAGAUGCUGCUCCAUAAAGUUUUGCUCCCCAAAUGCUCACUUCCCUCAAGGCUCUGGCUAUAAUGUGCAGUCAAAACCCUACAGAGGGGAAAGCAACCCAGCUGGGUAGCCAGGAAAGAAGCCAGAUCUGGGGUAGGGAAGCUCAGUUCAUUGAGGAACAUCCCACAAGAGAAAAUGAGAUCAAGACAGUUCAGGGGAAUUUCUGAAUGGUGAGUUUUUGUGCUGAGUUUUUUCCUGGAUUGCCUUGGCGUGCUCAAUUCAGUGUAACAUUUGGCUGCAUGCCCUCCCCUAGGCACACUGUUGGUAUUUCAUGUCCCAUCUGCCAGUGUCUCUGGAGGACAUUAGGAUAAGUAGUUUGAUCCAGAAAGGAUACCCACUGUCCUGGCCCUCUGCCCAAGACAUGCAAAUGGAGAGCACUUCCCAGCCACAAAGCUUUUGCCUGUGCCAGUGAUGUAUUAUUUUUGCUAUUAUUAUCCAUAGCAACCAUGGAUUGAGCAUCUACUAGGUGCACCAUGCUAAGUCCUUUGCCUGCAUUCUUUCAUUUCAUCAUCGUUUAAAGAAUACAACAAGCAGAUAUUAUUAUCUCCAUUUUAGAAAUAAGGAAGUUGUGAUCCUAUAACUUAGUCACACAACUGAUAAAGGGCAGAGUAAAGAUUCACAUCCAGAUCUGGCAGACACCAAAGCCCAUUUUCCUCACACCAUGCUGUCUUGCCCAAAACUAACUAUUCAGAGGAUGAAACCAAUAACAAUAAGCCCACAUAGAAAAACCAAUGGAAAUUACCAAAGCUAUACUCUGAGGUAAAUUUGUAGUUUUCAAUUCUCACAUUUUUUAUUGAAACAUUCAAUUUAAGAAAUAUUUUUAAUAAUUUAAAAUCUCAAGUAAAGAAUAUAAAAUCAGGUACAUUAAUUUUAAAAUACAGAACAUCAGUAAAAUUGACAAAAUGGUCUUUGCCAUAAGACAGUGGCAGCCUAUGCCUUGCUCCCUCUGAAUGCAGGGUUCCCAGGAAUGAACUAAGGGACCUAAGAUGACACUGAUAAUGACAUGAAAGCUUUGCUUCUGGGAAAGACAAAUGCCCAGAGAUCUGGGAACACAUAAUGACAGUAGCUGUUGUACUUUGUGACCACUGACUAUGGGUUGGCAUAAGGGUCUGUGUUUCUGAGAGUUUGCCUGAUCAGCUUAAGUGAUUCUCACACCUGUCCAAGCCUCCAGGACACCUUUCUAAGCUAGACGCAACAGGAGCCUGAAAUUUGAGUCACAUUCCCACUUUUCCUGAAGACCAUCCUAUCCCUGGUAAGCCUAGCCCAAAUAUAGUCUAUCAGCUACAACAUCCAGCACGUGGCUGUGCCUUCCUCCAGAUUGGGGAAAUUUGGCAGGGGUCGAGAAGGAAAGAAAACAGAGAGUUUGUUUUUCCCUGCAUUUUAUUCCUAUGCUUAUAAGGCAGUCAUGAGAAACAAUGGUUCCACAGCUUUAAAUCUAGCAAAUAGAACUCCCUUUGAGAUUCCAGUUUGAAAGCUGGUGAAGAUCAGAGUAACUCCAUCGUUUAUGUAAUAAACACACACCCAAACCUGUAACAUUUUUAUAAUGAAACCUGGUGGUAAUAAAAUUUGCGUUAAGGUAAAAGCAGUCAUUUUCCCUUCAGCUUUUAUUGUGCUGAAUGCAGUAUCUGCCAAGUCCUACUUGAAGGCAUCUUUGAUUAAGGGCCUAGUCUUCCCACUUGUGAACCAUCCAGAGUUGGCAGGAGUACCAUGACAUUGCUGAGACUAAUGCCCAAAGAUAGCCAAACUCAUGACACGCCAGCAGCUUCAAAAAAGUUGAGCCCUCUGUCAAGUAGCCCUGUCACCACCACCACCCCCGCCCAGUCCCUUCCUGGUCUGUCAGCCACGUAUAGGCCUUGGAUCUUCAAGUCUUGAGGGAAAACUGGGUCGAGCUAUUCUAAAGGCUUUCUCAUCUUUCUUAUUGAGCCUAAACUGAAACUUCUGGCAGGGCCUUAUUUCUUUGGUACUCUCCCAUUACUUAGUUCUUCAGGCCUAAUAAAUAAAGACUAUCUGGCUGUUGGACGCUCUCUCCUGAAUCCACUGAUCUGUAUGAAAAUGUAUGAAUGUAGGCCCUUAGUUGUCUUCCUUGGUUCCCUGAGGGGAAUUGGGGGUUUGGGUGGAAGUGCAGUUCUUACUUCUUACGGCUGCACAUUGGAAUCCACCUGGGGAGUUUUAAAAACAUGCACUGUUAUCGGGACCCACUCCCAGAGAUUCUGAUUUGAUUGGUCUGAGGUGUUUAAUUGUUAUAAUUGGCCUGCCCAUCAAAUAAUGGUUAUUUAUCAUAAAUAUAUAUGAUAUUAGGGACUUGCAUUUGAACAACUUCUCUGCCAUAAAAUUCAGAAACCACAAUGUCCUGAACAAACUGAUAGAGGCUCCAUGACACCCAUUGGAAGCUGCCUGGUUCACAGGAAUGCUUCCUUCUUCUCCUGAGCGAUCUUAAGUAACAAAGCUGCACACAACAGUGCUUCCCCAUCAUCAUGGCCUGGAAAGGCAGCUCAGAGAGAGUGUUCUCAGACAGCAGGUAGGACAAACCCUUCAUUAAGAAAGGCUGCAUACACGGUGUUGGUAGCUGUUGGGCUAAUAGGAGACCCUUGAAACUUGGCCCUGUGUCAGCCUCCGCAGAGGCAGUGGAGGCAAAUGUGCAGUGAAGGGGUUUAGCUGAGGCAAGGAGAGUGGCCAGCGUCAACUGUCACACUGGCCACCUCCUGCAGAACAACCUAAUAGCGCAUAGCAAGAAAUGAAAGUAAGGCACUGUCCUUGACAUUAAGGAGCCUGAGUUACAACUGAAGGACUAAUAACCCCAGUGUUGGAAGAAUACUGUAAAAAGUUCAAUGCUUUUCAAAUAGGGUUCAAUUGCAUGGCCAAACUUAUGUGAUAAAGAAGUAUAGUGAAGGAGGGCUUAGAGGGCUAAAGAAAUCAAGACAGGCCCCACAGUGGUUUAACAGAUUUGUGUAAGGCCAUUGAAGAUGUAACAGAAACGAGAGGUUGGGGGAUUUGGGUCUGGGGACUCUCAGUUUAGGGCUGUUUUGGGGACACUGGGAGAUAAACAAGUCUUUCUCUGUAAUCUCAGGAUGAAGGUAAGAUACUGAAGAAUUCCAAGAAGACUGGAGGGGGCAGUGCUGGAGGAGAAGAAAGCAACAUAGGGCCUGGUGCAAGCCCAUGCAGGAUGGGGCCCCUUCCCAGAAGUCCUGAGCUAGAGCCCCGGAAUCCUGCCCUGGAAUCUCUACUGGAGCUACCCUCUGGCCCUUCUUUAAGACGUUCAAAUGUCGGAGCAGAAGAGGAGAAGGAAGAAAGGGUUGUCCUCUUUGUCUUGGGUAGUUUGAUGCCUCAGAAGGAGAGCAAAGGCGAAAACGUUGGCCAGCCAGUAUGAACAAUGCAAGGUCCUCAAAGCUUAGGAGCCACUGACCCUAAAUGUCAAAGUCAGCCUUGAGUGAGGGUCAAGUGCAGAUUCCCCUCCUCACAGCUGUUCCUGUGAAAGGGCUCACUUUCAUUGGGAAACAUAGUUAUCUUCUCUCCCAGAAUAGGAAGUGGCUACAGCACAAGCCCCUCUUCGUUAGACCCAGCCUCCCCCUCCCCUUUGUCUUGCCAAGAAAUGCUGCAAACCCCAAAUACCUGCAUUCUUGGGCAUGCAGCAGGCCAGAGCCAUGCUUGGAUUCCCGCUCUGCUCCUUAAGGAAGGGCCUUUUCUUUUAUGCAAAGACG
RNAcentral lists this long non-coding RNA (5269 nucleotides) under Homo sapiens (human). RNAcentral describes it as "HSALNT0280611". Lineage: Eukaryota; Metazoa; Chordata; Mammalia; Primates; Hominidae. The record is from RNAcentral.